This 954-nucleotide ribosomal RNA is filed under the name Cordyceps sp. EFCC 2135. RNAcentral's name for it is "SSU rRNA". It matches the Rfam family "Eukaryotic small subunit ribosomal RNA", at positions 87 to 1051 of the family's 1831-position model. Lineage: Eukaryota; Fungi; Ascomycota; Sordariomycetes; Hypocreales; Cordycipitaceae. The record is from RNAcentral.
UUGCGAAUGGCUCAUUAUAUAAGUUAUCGUUUAUUUGAUAGUACCUUACUACUUGGAUAACCGUGGUAAUUCUAGAGCUAAUACAUGCUAAAAAUCCCGACUUCGGAAGGGAUGUAUUUAUUAGAUUAAAAACCAAUGCCCUCUGGGCUCUCUGGUGAUUCAUGAUAACUUCUCGAAUCGCAUGGCCUUGUGCCGGCGAUGGUUCAUUCAAAUUUCUUCCCUAUCAACUUUCGAUGUUUGGGUAGUGGCCAAACAUGGUUGCAACGGGUAACGGAGGGUUAGGGCUCGACCCCGGAGAAGGAGCCUGAGAAACGGCUACUACAUCCAAGGAAGGCAGCAGGCGCGCAAAUUACCCAAUCCCGAUUCGGGGAGGUAGUGACAAUAAAUACCGAUACAGGGCUCUUUUGGGUCUUGUAAUUGGAAUGAGUACAAUUUAAAUCCCUUAACGAGGAACAAUUGGAGGGCAAGUCUGGUGCCAGCAGCCGCGGUAAUUCCAGCUCCAAUAGCGUAUAUUAAAGUUGUUGUGGUUAAAAAGCUCGUAGUUGAACCUUGGGCCUGGCUGGCCGGUCCGCCUCACCGCGUGUACUGGUCCGGCCGGGCCUUUCCCUCUGUGGAACCCCAUGCCCUUCACUGGGCGUGGCGGGGAAACAGGACUUUUACUUUGAAAAAAUUAGAGUGCUCCAGGCAGGCCUAUGCUCGAAUACAUUAGCAUGGAAUAAUGAAAUAGGACGUGCGGUUCUAUUUUGUUGGUUUCUAGGACCGCCGUAAUGAUUAAUAGGGACAGUCGGGGGCAUCAGUAUUCAAUUGUCAGAGGUGAAAUUCUUGGAUUUAUUGAAGACUAACUACUGCGAAAGCAUUUGCCAAGGAUGUUUUCAUUAAUCAGGAACGAAAGUUAGGGGAUCGAAGACGAUCAGAUACCGUCGUAGUCUUAACCAUAAACUAUGCCGACUAGGG